Triticum urartu is the source of this 1912-nucleotide non-coding RNA. The record is from RefSeq and is a predicted model, not a curated record. NCBI's taxonomy places the organism in Eukaryota, Viridiplantae, Streptophyta, Magnoliopsida, Poales, Poaceae.
UCCUUCUCCUCUGGUCUACGAUUCGAGCUGUGCUCGUGCGCGCGCACGAUUUCGUCUUAGUUUCUAACAAGCGACCGAGCUCUGCUCUGCUCGGUGCCGGUAAAUUCGACGGUUUCAAUCGAGAUCUGUUUGUUCGUUAUAGAAGCUGAUUCAGCUGAGCCCUUAUAUUGCUGCUGCUGCUUCUAUCCAAAAACUUGCAGAAGUAGAUUGCACAUCUCAGGGAAAGCAUUCUCCAGUUGUUUUAUUUGUGAACACCAUUGCUCAGUGCUCCAUAUGCACAUUCAUAAACAUUAGUCGCCAAUGGAGCAGAGCGCCAUUGCUGAUGUAGCUUAAAAUGGUGAUCAGUGACCGACUGAGUGUGCUUGAAGUUUGAGGUGGAGUGCAAGGAGGAGGACACCCGGGUGGAGAUCUACUGCGCCGCCAAGCCGGGCCUACUGCUGUUGAUGAUGCAGAGGGAGAUGUGCUGCUGGAUCUUAUAAGGAGGUCACUCUGACAAGACUGGCUAGCUGUGAUUCUCGUGGGAAUAAAGAGGAUGGGACCUGUGAUUGUCGUGGAUCUGGAGGUGACACUGAUCAGGAAGGAAAUGAACAAAACAUGAUUUUGCCAACCUCUCAUGUAGUAUAUAAUGUACCUAUUUCAUAAAGUACAUCAGAUUACGAGUCGAGGGACUAGUCGAGACUAGUCGCUAGACUAGUCUAUGAGUCGCAUUCUGGGUGUCGACUAGAAAUCUCGUGUAGACUAGUUCGCCGAGUCAAGGAGUCGAAGGACUAGUCAUAGACUAGUCUAGACUAGUCAUGCACCUUGAGUCGUUUGACUCAAUUUUUUUUUAUUUUUUAGGGAUUGGGAGGGGAUAAGUGAGCCAGCCACCCUGCCCCUUUCCCUCCAUUGCUUAUGCUCUUCAUGGAUCUGCACUCCUCUGCUCUGGCCCUUUCCCUCCAUUGCUUCUGCUCUUCCUAGAUCUGCCUUACGGUCUCCCUCUGCUGCCUUCUGGCUACUGGAUCCGCUUGUCCCUCAGGUUGCAGUAAGCAAGCAAGCAUACUAGCAAAGUAAUUUCCCCCUUCUCUUCUUCCCUUCUUUGAUUCGAUUUUUACCCCCUGCCCUCUUCUUUAUUUCGUUUUGUUUGCUUCAGUUUCAAGAUCCUUAGGUCUAAAGUGCAAUGCCUAUGCCGGAAAUAUCUCAAGUACUGUAUUCAGCAGCUGCAGCUCAGACCAAUGAGCAAUAUGAUCCACCGAAGGAUCCUGCAAGAAGCCAGCUAGGAGCAAGGAUCCAACAUGGAAAUAUGCUUACUGGACUAAUCUGCAGGACAAAUUGACGCUCCAAUGCACUUUCUAUAGUAUAUAUUACAUAUUAAUACUAGGUUUUAGUAAUUGAUUACUGCAAGUUGUGAACUACAGUACCAUGUCGACUAGUCUAGCAGUAGUCUAGACUAGUCACGACUAGUCUAUGAGUCUCAACCUUCGAACGACUCAUCGACUCGUCGACUCGUAAACGUUGGUGCAAAUACAAGUUUGCAACUCAUGACGAUGAGUCGAGGAGUGAAAGAAGUUUGGAACUCACACAAGUGUCAUACUCGCAUGACCAAAUCAGGCUACGAAGACAAGUCUUCAUGCGCACAUGAUUGCCGAUUUUAGUUACACAGUACCAUUUAAAAAGCGGCUGCCAUUUGAUGAAUUGCUGAAGGGUGGUGGCUGGACACCAUGGGGGACAGUGUUCCAAGAUGGUUAGACGUUAGCUACUGAUUCGCAAUCUAUCAAUCCUAUCUUCAUGUAUCUGUGUGUGUUAGGUACAUCUACUUGAUUUCUUCUUCUGAUUUAGGGAGGUCUUCAGAAUCUGAGAGGAAAUUGAUGUAAAAUUUAUUUUCCUAUUCUUGGAAACUCUUGCUUAGGAAAAUCAUAAUGUUCUUUUCAUUGUA